This 781-nucleotide ribosomal RNA is filed under the name uncultured Actinomycetes bacterium. Its description in RNAcentral is "bacterial SSU rRNA". It matches the Rfam family "Bacterial small subunit ribosomal RNA", at positions 561 to 1342 of the family's 1533-position model. The record is from RNAcentral. Lineage: Bacteria; Bacillati; Actinomycetota; Actinomycetes.
UAAAGAGCUCGUAGGCGGUCCGUCACGUCUGCUGUGAAAACUCGGGGCUCAACCCCGAGCCUGCAGUGGAUACGGGCGGACUAGAGUUCGGUAGGGGAGACUGGAAUUCCUGGUGUAGCGGUGAAAUGCGCAGAUAUCAGGAGGAACACCGGUGGCGAAGGCGGGUCUCUGGACCGAUACUGACGCUGAGGAGCGAAAGCGUGGGGAGCGAACAGGAUUAGAUACCCUGGUAGUCCACGCCGUAAACGUUGGGCGCUAGGUGUGGGGGACUUUCCACGUCCUCCGUGCCGCAGCUAACGCAUUAAGCGCCCCGCCUGGGGAGUACGGCCGCAAGGCUAAAACUCAAAGGAAUUGACGGGGGCCCGCACAAGCGGCGGAGCAUGUGGCUUAAUUCGACGCAACGCGAAGAACCUUACCAAGGCUUGACAUAUAGGGAAAACUGGCAGAGAUGUCAGGUCCGCAAGGGCCCUAUACAGGUGGUGCAUGGUUGUCGUCAGCUCGUGUCGUGAGAUGUUGGGUUAAGUCCCGCAACGAGCGCAACCCUCGUUCCAUGUUGCCAGCGGAUAAUGCCGGGGACUCAUGGGAGACUGCCGGGGUCAACUCGGAGGAAGGUGGGGAUGACGUCAAAUCAUCAUGCCCCUUACGUCUUGGGCUGCACACAUGCUACAAUGGCCGGUACAAAGGGCUGCUAAACCGCAAGGUGGAGCGAAUCCCAAAAAGCCGGUCUCAGUUCGGAUCGGGGUCUGCAACUCGACCCCGUGAAGUCGGAGUCGCUAGUAAU